RNAcentral lists this ribosomal RNA (435 nucleotides) under uncultured bacterium. Its description in RNAcentral is "partial 16S ribosomal RNA". It matches the Rfam family "Bacterial small subunit ribosomal RNA", at positions 29 to 507 of the family's 1533-position model. The record is from RNAcentral.
AGCGAACGCUGGCGGCAGGCUUAACACAUGCAAGUCGAGCGGGCAUCUUCGGAUGUCAGCGGCAGACGGGUGAGUAACACGUGGGAACGUACCCUUCGGUUCGGAACAACUCUGGGAAACUGGAGCUAAUACCGGAUACGCCCUUAUGGGGAAAGGUUUACUGCCGAAGGAUCGGCCCGCGUCUGAUUAGCUAGUUGGUGGGGUAACGUCCUACCAAGGCGACGAUCUGUAGCUGGUCUGAGAGGAUGAUCAGCCACACUGUGACUGAGACACGGCCCAGACUCCUACGGGAGGCAGCAGUGGGGAAUAUUGGACAAUGGGCGAAAGCCUGAUCCAGCCAUGCCGCGUGAGUGAUGAAGGCCUUAGGGUUGUAAAGCUCUUUUGUCCGGGACGAUAAUGACGGUACCGGAAGAAUAAGCCCCGGCUAACUUCGUG